This 720-nucleotide ribosomal RNA is filed under the name Salmonella enterica. Its description in RNAcentral is "bacterial SSU rRNA". It matches the Rfam family "Bacterial small subunit ribosomal RNA", at positions 795 to 1515 of the family's 1533-position model. The record is from RNAcentral. Lineage: Bacteria; Pseudomonadati; Pseudomonadota; Gammaproteobacteria; Enterobacterales; Enterobacteriaceae.
CCACGCCGUAAACGAUGUCUACUUGGAGGUUGUGCCCUUGAGGCGUGGCUUCCGGAGCUAACGCGUUAAGUAGACCGCCUGGGGAGUACGGCCGCAAGGUUAAAACUCAAAUGAAUUGACGGGGGCCCGCACAAGCGGUGGAGCAUGUGGUUUAAUUCGAUGCAACGCGAAGAACCUUACCUGGUCUUGACAUCCACAGAAGAAUCCAGAGAUGGAUUUGUGCCUUCGGGAACUGUGAGACAGGUGCUGCAUGGCUGUCGUCAGCUCGUGUUGUGAAAUGUUGGGUUAAGUCCCGCAACGAGCGCAACCCUUAUCCUUUGUUGCCAGCGGUCCGGCCGGGAACUCAAAGGAGACUGCCAGUGAUAAACUGGAGGAAGGUGGGGAUGACGUCAAGUCAUCAUGGCCCUUACGACCAGGGCUACACACGUGCUACAAUGGCGCAUACAAAGAGAAGCGACCUCGCGAGAGCAAGCGGACCUCAUAAAGUGCGUCGUAGUCCGGAUUGGAGUCUGCAACUCGACUCCAUGAAGUCGGAAUCGCUAGUAAUCGUGGAUCAGAAUGCCACGGUGAAUACGUUCCCGGGCCUUGUACACACCGCCCGUCACACCAUGGGAGUGGGUUGCAAAAGAAGUAGGUAGCUUAACCUUCGGGAGGGCGCUUACCACUUUGUGAUUCAUGACUGGGGUGAAGUCGUAACAAGGUAACCGUAGGGGAACCUGC